RNAcentral lists this ribosomal RNA (468 nucleotides) under uncultured bacterium. RNAcentral describes it as "partial 16S ribosomal RNA". It matches the Rfam family "Bacterial small subunit ribosomal RNA", at positions 28 to 507 of the family's 1533-position model. The record is from RNAcentral.
GACGAACGCUGGCGGCGUGCUUAACACAUGCAAGUCGAACGGAAAGGCCCUGCUUUUGUGGGGUGCUCGAGUGGCGAACGUGUGAGUAACACGUGAGUAACCUGCCCUUUACUUUGGUAUAACUUCAGGAAACUGGUGCUAAUACCGGAUAGGAUCUCCUGCUGCAUUGUGGUGUUUGGUAAGUUUCGGCGGUUGGGGAUGGACUCGCGGCUUAUCAGCUUGUUGGUGGGGUAGUUGCUUACCAAGGCUUUGACGGGUAGCCGGACUGAGAGGGUGACCGGCCACAUUGGGACUGAGAUACGGCCCAGACUCCUACGGGAGGCAGCAGUGGGGAAUAUUGCACAAUGGGCGGAAGCAUGAUGCAGCAACGCCGCGUGCGGGAUGACGGCCUUCGGGUUGUAAACAGAUUUCGCCUGUGACGAAGCGUGAGUGACGGUAAUGGGUAAAGAAGCACCGGCUAACUACGUG